This 300-nucleotide small RNA is filed under the name uncultured fungus. Its description in RNAcentral is "eukaryotic LSU rRNA". It matches the Rfam family "Eukaryotic large subunit ribosomal RNA", at positions 668 to 961 of the family's 3401-position model. Lineage: Eukaryota; Fungi. The record is from RNAcentral.
AAGGAGUCCAACACGCAUGCGAGUCUUUGGGUGGCAAACCCACGGGCGCAAUGAAAGUGAAAGGGUGUGACUCUUCUCCUUCUGGGAGAGAAGGCAACACCGACCGGUCUUGAUCUCACGUGAUGGAUCUGAGUGAGAGCAUGCGUGCUGGGACCCGAAAGAUGGUGAACUAUUCCUGGGUAGGGUGAAGCCAGAGGAAACUCUGGUGGAGGCUCGCAGCGGUUCUGACGUGCAAAUCGAUCGUCGAACCUGGGAAUAGGGGCGAAAGACUAAUCGAACCAUCUAGUAGCUGGUUCCCUC